GGGCGUUCUGAAGACCUGCUCUCUAGGCUACAUGCUGAGGGCGCCGGUUCCUCCAGGGCUCCCGAGCCCGCCUAGGGGAAAGUCCCCGGACCCCGGGCAGAGAGUGCCGCUCGCUCCGCAGCGUGCAGUGACCCGCCUCGCCGGCUCACGUUCUCCCCGCCGAGAAGCCCCCCGGGCUGAGCGGGUGGGCGCGGGAUGGGCUGCCCGUCACUCCCACAGGAACGCAGGUAGUGCGCAGGCGUGUUCCCGCCGCCGCACCAACAGAACGGGGCUCAUUCUCAGAACGCC
Molecule: RNase MRP RNA, 288 nt
Filed under: Terrapene triunguis (Three-toed box turtle)
Lineage: Eukaryota; Metazoa; Chordata; Testudines; Emydidae
Description: Terrapene carolina triunguis (Three-toed box turtle) RNase MRP (ENSTMTG00000005629.1)
Rfam family: RNase MRP
About the family: RNase MRP is an enzymatically active ribonucleoprotein with two distinct roles in eukaryotes.
Source: Rfam by way of RNAcentral